RNAcentral lists this ribosomal RNA (475 nucleotides) under uncultured bacterium. RNAcentral describes it as "bacterial SSU rRNA". It matches the Rfam family "Bacterial small subunit ribosomal RNA", at positions 328 to 793 of the family's 1533-position model. The record is from RNAcentral.
CGCUAUCACUCCUACGGGAGGCAGCAGUGGGGAAUAUUGCACAAUGGGGGAAACCCUGAUGCAGCCAUGCCGCGUGUGUGAAGAAGGCCUUCGGGUUGUAAAGCACUUUCAGUAGGGAGGAAGGUAGUGUAGUUAACACCUGCAUUAUUUGACGUUACCUACAGAAGAAGCACCGGCUAACUCCGUGCCAGCAGCCGCGGUAAUACGGAGGGUGCGAGCGUUAAUCGGAAUUACUGGGCGUAAAGCGCAUGCAGGCGGCCUGUUAAGUCAGAUGUGAAAGCCCGGGGCUUAACCUCGGAAUUGCAUUUGAAACUGGCAGGCUAGAGUCUUGUAGAGGGGGGUAGAAUUUCAGGUGUAGCGGUGAAAAUGCGUAGAGAUCUGAAGGAAUACCAGUGGCGAAGGCGGCCCCCCUGGACAAAGACUGACGCUCAGAUGCGAAAGCGUGGGGAGCAAACAGGAUUAGAUACCCUGGUAG